UGCAAGUCGAGCGGGACCGACGGGAGCUUGCUCCCUUAGGUCAGCGGCGGACGGGUGAGUAACACGUGGGUAACCUGCCUGUAAGACUGGGAUAACUCCGGGAAACCGGGGCUAAUACCGGAUGCUUGAUUGAACCGCAUGGUUCAAUCAUAAAAGGUGGCUUUUAGCUACCACUUGCAGAUGGACCCGCGGCGCAUUAGCUAGUUGGUGAGGUAACGGCUCACCAAGGCGACGAUGCGUAGCCGACCUGAGAGGGUGAUCGGCCACACUGGGACUGAGACACGGCCCAGACUCCUACGGGAGGCAGCAGUAGGGAAUCUUCCGCAAUGGACGAAAGUCUGACGGAGCAACGCCGCGUGAGUGAUGAAGGUUUUCGGAUCGUAAAACUCUGUUGUUAGGGAAGAACAAGUACCGUUCGAAUAGGGCGGCACCUUGACGGUACCUAACCAGAAAGCCACGGCUAACUACGUGCCAGCAGCG
Molecule: ribosomal RNA, 480 nt
Filed under: Bacillus licheniformis
Lineage: Bacteria; Bacillati; Bacillota; Bacilli; Caryophanales; Bacillaceae
Description: bacterial SSU rRNA
Rfam family: Bacterial small subunit ribosomal RNA
Source: RNAcentral